GGGUAGCCGGCCUGAGAGGGUGACCGGCCCCCCUGGGACUGAGAUACGGCCCAGACUCCUACGGGAGGCAGCAGUGGGGAAUAUUGCACAAUGGGCGAAAGCCUGAUGCAGCAACCCCGCCUGAGGGAUGACGGCCUUCGGGUUGUAAACCUCUUUUAGCAGGGAAGAAGCGAAAGUGACGGUACCUGCAGAAAAAGCGCCGGCUAACUACGUGCCAGCAGCCGCGGUAAUACGUAGGGCGCAAGCGUUAUCCGGAAUUAUUGGGCGUAAAGAGCUCGUAGGCGGUUUGUCGCGUCUGCUGUGAAAUCCGGAGGCUCAACCUCCGGCCUGCAGUGGGUACGGGCAGACUAGAGUGCGGUAGGGGAGAUUGGAAUUCCUGGUGUAGCGGUGGAAUGCGCAGAUAUCAGGAGGAACACCGAUGGCGAAGGCAGAUCUCUGGGCCGUAACUGACGCUGAGGAGCGAAAGGGUGGGGAGCAAACAGGCUUAGAUACCCUGGUAGUCCACCCCGUAAACGUUGGGAACUAGUUGUGGGGUCCAUUCCACGGAUUCCGUGACGCAGCUAACGCAUUAAGUUCCCCGCCUGGGGAGUACGGCCGCAAGGCUAAAACUCAAAGGAAUUGACGGGGACCCGCACAAGCGGCGGAGCAUGCGGAUUAAUUCGAUGCAACGCGAAGAACCUUACCAAGGCUUGACAUAUACGAGAACGGGCCAGAAAUGGUCAACUCUUUGGACACUCGUAAACAGGUGGUGCAUGGUUGUCGUCAGCUCGUGUCGUGAGAUGUUGGGUUAAGUCCCGCAACGAGCGCAACCCUCGUUCUAUGUUGCCAGCACGUAAUGGUGGGAACUCAUGGGAUACUGCCGGGGUCAACUCGGAGGAAGGUGGGGAUGACGUCAAAUCAUCAUGCCCCUUAUGUCUUGGGCUUCACGCAUGCUACAAUGGCCGGUACAAAGGGCUGCAAUACCGCGAGGUGGAGCGAAUCCCAAAUAAGCCGGUCCCAUGGUGACGUUCGGAUUGAGGUCUGCAACUCGACCUCAUGAAGUCGGAGUCGCUAGUAAUCGCAGAUCAGCAACGCUGCGGUGAAUACGUUCCCGGGUCUUGUAC
Molecule: ribosomal RNA, 1103 nt
Filed under: Microbacterium oxydans
Lineage: Bacteria; Bacillati; Actinomycetota; Actinomycetes; Micrococcales; Microbacteriaceae
Description: bacterial SSU rRNA
Rfam family: Bacterial small subunit ribosomal RNA
Source: RNAcentral